UCGUAGACCUCUCAUUUAAUCUCGUUUGCGUUGGUGUUCGGUGUCCUUUUUCCGUGUCUUUUUCUUUUGUUUUAGGGUUUUUCUUGGUUUAGGGUUUCGAAUGUGUUCUUGAUCUGGUUUUAGGAUUUUGAAGGUGUUUUUGAUUUGUGAACUUCUGUGAUUUGUUCUGGCGUUUCUUGAUUCUGGGGUUUCUUGAUUUUAAUUUCGGUAUUUUUUGUUCUGGGAUUUCUUGAUUUUAAUUUCCUAUUUUUUUAAGAGGUAGCUGUAAGUUUAUGUGAUUUUAAUUUCGGUAUUUUUUUUUAGGAGGUAUCUGUAAAUUUCUGUGAUUUCACGUGUGUUCUUAUUUGUUUUGGAUUCUUUGUUUUACUCUGUUUUACAAAGGUUCUUCUUUUAUGCAGCAAUCUUGGACCCUCUUCUAUUUUUGACUUUUAUUUUAGAGUUUGCGUGUUCUAUGGGAUCCUUGUUUGCGUGUUCCAUGGGAUCCUUGUUUGUAUUGGAGUCUUUUAGGGUAACGUGGGGGGUUUGUAGAGUGAUGGUUCCAUUUUUCUUUUAGAUUUAUUUGAGAUCUUACAAGAAUGUGCAGUUGAGGGAUCUAAGCUCAUCCAAGUUCUGUAAGAUAAUUGAUUCUCUGUAACAUAAGCUCUUUGUUGCUUCUAUGCAGUAAUUGAGACUUCCGAUUCUUCUUUUAUGUCCUCCGAAUCUUCUCUGGUAUUCUUUCUUGGUGAUUGGCACCAGUUUAAUUGGUGCUGGUGAGCUGUUUUGUGAAAUUGGUGAUGUUGGGUUCCUUUUGUUUGAAUUUCAAGAUCUUUUGUCUCGGAGUUUUGAGGUCUUGUGGUGGUGGUGGUUUAUGUAAUUGGAAUAAUUCUAUGCUGGGUUUUGAUGUCCAGAAUUCAAGAGCUGUACUCUGGGUUAUUUGCAUUCAAUUUGAUGCCUAUGGAAUAAUUCUAUGCUGGGUCUUGAGAAAGUGGUGAUGAUCUGCAAAUUUUUUCCUCCUUUAGGGGACCAAGGCAAAUCUAAAGGGGUUUUAUUUAUUUUGCUAUGCUGGAUCGGUUUGAUUUCAGAUGGUAUUAUUCUAUUUAGUCAUUGUUGUGACUUGUCUACAUAUGCAGCUCAGUUGAUGGGUUGAAGCGCAUGUCAUUGCAAUGAUAGGAACUGUGUCGAAGUGCUCUUCUCAAUCCAUGAUUAUCUCAAAUGAUGGAUUCUCAGUUGAUUGGGCUUCGGGGAAACCGUUAUCGCCAUUUGGCCUUGGUUCGCAGAUGGUCGUCAUGUUUUGGGGAAAACAGGUUUCCAUUUUGAUUUGAAGACGAGUUCCAAUUCUUUUAAUUGUGGUGGCAUGUAUUAAGUUGUAUGGUGACUAAGUUAUCUCUGUCUGCUUUUUUGGGAUGUCUGGUAAUUCUUUUGCAUGAUUUCGUGAAGGUAACUUGGUGGAAUGCUCCAGUGCAUGUACAACGAAAGUUUGGUUUCUCAUAUCUCACUCGAAUCUGAAUCUAGAAAUUGGGUACAGUUUGAAUUAGGACUUGCUGGGGCCGAAUCACUAUUUUACAAGAUAUGCGAUUGACUUGGUUUGAUAUUAAUGAAUAUUGUCUCAGUUGUUAAAAUUUUGUGCCCUUAGGUGCUGUGACAUGUUUCUCAUGGAGGCAAUGAUGCAGGCAUGGAUGGUACUAUUUUGAUGUUCCUUCUGAGAUUGCUGGUUUCUUUCUUCUCGUGUUGAACUAUUUUGUAUCAGUUGCAUUUACUUUAUUGGAUCAUUGGCGCUAAUCUUGAAGAGUAUAUGAACUAGAGAGUAUGUGAACUAGCUAUUUUGACUGGAUUGGUUCUGGAGUUGUGUCAUGGCCAUAGCAAUUUAUUGUAGUUAUUUUGGGGGAUAUACUGAAUUCACUCACUUUUAGUUAUAUGCAUUCUGCUUAGGUUUUUUAUUUGGUACUUGCGGCUUUUCGGAAUGGUUGAAGAUGGUCAUGCCAGAUUGCAAUCACAACUUAAAUUGGGGUUUUCUCUAGUUUUGGACAGCUUUCAUGUUACCUUCCUUUGUAUUCCAGCUUGAAUUCGACAUUUUCAGUUCAGUUUAAAUUUGGAGUUUUGGAGAUGAGUCGUCAUUAUUGUUAUAUGUUGGGGUAUUUGAUUAUGUGUAUCAAAGAUUUGAAGAAAGGUGUCUGUUUUCUGGUUCAAUCAGAUGAGGUCUGUUUCUCAAAUUAAAUCACACCAGUGUGAUUCAUUCGAACAUGAAGCCUGAAGAGAUGGUCUUAGGUCGGAUUAUUGGUUUCGUUUUAUUUGAUUUGUUGUUUAGUCUUAAUUUCUGGAGGCAUCUACUAUUAAAUUCUCUGCUUCUGAUGUCUAUUAUGUCUAGGUACCAUGGCAAUCCUACCGUCCUUUUUGGCUAAUUAAUGGAUGCAAAGUUCUUGUUUCUGGGUUGUGUGGGCCUUGAUAUUUUAUUUCUUCGAUGCCUCUUUUUUUUGGCUUGAUUUUGUUAUACAAACUCCAAAUUGCUUUUGGGUUGUUUAUAGUCAACUUGGGGAAGAAAGCACAUAUUGGAAGGGCUUAUUUCGUCUAUAUAGCGAUCAGUAUGGAUUCUAAAUUGUUUUAUUUUUAUUUCUGCCAUUGUGACCUGGAGAUGUUCUAUCUGAAUUUGGAGCUUCUUAAAUGAGCUAAAGAUUUGUUAUUUGUUUUGGGGAAAAUUUCCUCCUAUUUACCUUUAUCGCUGAAUGUUUUUAAAUUGGUGGUAUUGGUAUGGAACUAUAUGACUAAAGUCCUUAUUACUUCAAGUUUGCAGUUUUGAUACCGCGGGGCUAGUAGUUUGUCAAAUCGCAUCGCAUUGUUGCCAUUGCUCUGCAUUGUCCUAGAAUUAAUCUGGUGUUCCUAGUGGUGUUCAAUGUUGGUCCUUGCUGUUCCGGAUUUUGGAUCUCUCUUGUUCAAUUCAAAACCAACGAGUUUGUCAAAUUGCAUCGCAUUGUUGCCAUUGCUCUGCAUUGUCCUAGAAUUAAUCUGGUGUUCUUAGUGGUGCUCAAUGUUGGUCCUAGCUGUUCCGGAUUUUGGAUCUCUCUUGUUCAAUUCAAUACCAGCGAUUGUUUGUAUGUUUCUUCUUUCUAGGUUUUCUCCGUUCUGUUUUUUGGUUUUAUUUGUUCCUUAGUGACCAUUCAUAGGUUCUCUUAUUGUCCUCUUAUGAUUCAUGUAUUAGUGUUGUGGCGUCCGGGCAUGUAUUUUUUAACUAAUGUGUUCUAUUUUUAUAAUCUUUUUUGCUUUGUGCUUUUCCUGAUUGUUCAACGCACUUGAGUUUUAUUGUAACUAUGCGCUUUUCUUUGUCUUUUCACUCUUUGGGUUUCUGAACAAGUUGCUAAUGGGGGGGGGUUUUUCAUUUUGUAAUUAAUUUUUGGGUGGAUCUCUCAUCCCAUUUAUUGUGGGGUUUCUUAAUUUUUUAGGGAGGAUCUAUCCUUCUUGAUUCUUGAAUUAAUUUGGUUUCUUGGAAAUUGAAAGCAUGAGAAUCUCCCCCUUCACGCACUUGUAAUUUUUUGUAGAGGCCCUCUCAUUUUUUUGAUAUUUUGUGCCUUGGGUAUUAGUUUGGUACAGUGAUAUACUUUUGCUCUUUGUUUGUAAAUGUUUAUAUGUUGAUUGUGAAGUCUUAGUUUGCAUUGAUUGUUCUCCUUAGGUAACAUAGUGAUUUCCCUUUGUACUCGGUGGUACACAUUGGACUGUUUCAAGUUUGCUGUUUAGCAGUGUGGUUUGAUUUAUCUUGACCCAACCCAACUUUGGACCUUCUUUCUUGUUAGCUAGCCUAGAGUUGCUCUUUGUUGAUUAUAUGAUGAAUGUGUCCUGGCAAUGUUGUAGGUGGGGAAGCUACAGAUUGAUUGGUUGUUUGUCCAAUGGGCUCCAUGGCAUACGGCUGCUGGGUGGGCUUUGUUUGGUAUGGUUUAAUUUUAGUCUCCUGGCGACGAUGUAGGUGGGGGAGCUAUAUAUCGAUUGGUUGGUUGCCCAAUGGGCUCCAUGGCAUACGGCUGCGGUGUGGGCUCUGUUUGGUUUCUAUAUGCUCUCCGAUUGGAACAUGUGGACAAAAUUAGGUGAUGAGAGUGACAGAAACAUUCAAAUCCAAAACAUUGUGUACCAUUUAUAGAGCUCUGGUGAAUGGGUGUAAGUUAUCCUGGAUAUCUUUGGAUUGUCAAUUUCAUUGAUAUAUUAUAUACUGGCUUUCUGCCUGAUCUACGAGGUGUCUAGGUAGUUCCUUCUUGUGUCUUGUAACAGUGAGGACCAGGAGUGCCAACACACAUGGAAUGGGGACGGACGGGUUCAUGGGAUUAUUAAUUGAGAACUUGUUGCAAAUUGAAAGAUGGUUUGAUCCUGUGCCUCUUGCCUUGACUUAUGCGAAUGGGGACGGGUUCACAGGGUUAUUAAUUGAGAACUUGUUGCAAAGUGGUUUGAUCUGUGCCUCUUGCCCCGUCUUAUGUGAAUUGCAGUUUCUUCUUGCUGUCUAGCCUAGAGUUGCUCUUUGUUAAUUAUAUAAUGAUACCCUUGCAUCCUGGCGAUGCUGUAGGUGGGGGAGCUAUAUAUCGAUUGGUGGCUUUCCCAAUGCUCUAUUUGGUAUGUUUUAAUUAUUGUGAAGUGUUUUGGAUCUCUCAGAGGUAUAUACAUUGGCUGUUUGUAAAAGCACUCUAGAGGGCUUUGCUCGUGUUUGGAUUUCAGUUUCUUGUUGCAUUUUGUUGGAUGGCUGGCAGUUAGGUUAGGUUUCUAUGUGCUUUCUGACGGAAACAUGUGGACGGUAUGAGGUGACGAGAGGCCAGGAACAUUCAAAUGUCAGAAGCAUCGCGUACCAUUUAUGGAGCUCUGGUGAAUGGGCGUAAGUUAUCCUCAAUAUAUUUGGAUGCCAAUUCAUUGAUAAUGCAUUAUAUACUAGCUGUCUACCUGAUCUACGAUGUGUCUGGGUAGUUCCCUAGUGGUGUAUCAGGAGUUGCAACACACCUAGAAUAGGGAUGGGUGCACAAGAUUAUUAAUUGAGAACUGGUUUCAAAGGGAAAGAUGGUUUGAUAUGUGCCUCUUGCCCUCACCUAUGUGAAUCGCAGUUUUCUGAGUUGUUUUAGUGGUGGUGUGAUCAAUACGUUCUGGUCACUUUUUAUUUUUAGACGGAAUGAGGAUAAAUAGCUACAUGAGAUAUGCAUUAAUUCGUUUUUCAGAGAUCGGAGGUGGAAGAGAAGGGAUUUGGUGACGUCGUGCAUUCACUCUUCGUGGUUCCUUUUAUGCAGUAUUUUCUUUAGCUGAUUUGCCUGUAGGAGCCGUUUCUUUACAUGAUACUAUUUUUUAUCUUUAAUGAAGCUCUUGACAAAUAUGUUGUGUUUUGUUCUUUAGUAUCUUGACUUUUCCUCUAUAUUCUAUGAUUCUUAUUUGCCUUGAUAUUUGUGUUCUCAGAUAUCAUCUUUAGUUUAAACACAUUUUCUUUUCUUUAUCACCCCUUUUUUUGGUUUUUUUUUUUUUUGCUGGUGGGGGGGGAUGUUAGGUUGUUUUUGGGUGGAAUCAGUUUGGUGCAGUGAUAUACUUAUGCUAUUUGUUUGUAAAUGUUUAUAUGUUGAUUGUGAAUUCUUAGUUUUCAUUGAUUGUUCUUCUUAGGUACCAUGGUGAUUUGCCCUUGUAAUCGGUGGCACACAUUGGACCGUUAUGAGUUUGUUGUCACGCAGUGUGGUUUGAUUUAUCUGGACUCAACUUUGGACCUUUCUUGUUGUCUAGCCUUGAGUUGCUUUUUGUUGAUUAUAUGGUGACACUUUUGCAUCCUGGCAACCCUGUAGGUGGGGGAGCUAUACAUAGAUUGGUUGUUUGCCCAAUGCUCUAUUUGAUAUGUUUUAAUUAUAGUGAAGUGUUUUGGAUCUCUUAAAAUACACUGGCUGUUGUUGUGUUGGGGCUUUAGGCUGCAUCAUGGUGCCAGCAUACAUACUGCCAGCUGAUUUUCAGUUUCGUGUUGCAUUUUGUUGGAUGGCUGCCAGAGUUAAGUUUCUACAUGGUUUCGGAUUGGAACAUGUGGACAGUUUGAGGUGACGAGAGUGCCAGGAACAUUCAAAUGCCAAAAAGAUUGUUUACCAGCUACAGAGCUCUUAUGAAUGGGUGCAAGUUAUCCUUGAUAUCUUUGGAUGUCAAUGCCAUUGAUAAUAUAUUCUAUAUUAGCUUUCUACCUGAUCUUCGAGGUCUCUGGGUAGUUCCAUGUUUGGUGUCUAACCGUGACUCUCCAUUGGUGGAAUGGGGAUGGGUGCAUAGGGUUAUCAAGUGAGAACUGGUUGCGAAGUGAAAGAUGGUUUGAUGUGUUCCUAAUUCCCUGACUUAUGUAUAUUCUUGUUGUCUGAGGUUUUUAGUGUCGAUUUGAUAUUUAUGUUUACUUCUAGUCACCUUUUGUUUUGAGAUGGAAUGAGGAUGAAAAGUCACCUGAGCUAUGAAUUUAUUGGUUUUUCAGAGAUUGGAAGUGGAAGAGAAGGGAUUUGGUGAUGUCCAUACACUCGUUACUUUUUUAUUGGUGGUUCCUUUUAUGCAGAAUUUUCUUUGGCUGAUUUGCAUGUAGGAGCCGUUGUGUUUUCAUACAGUGAUAUAGUUUUGCUCUGUUUGUAAAUGUUUGUAUGUUGAUUGUGAAGUCUUUGUUUGUUUUGAUUGUUCUCCUCAGGUACCAUGGUGAUUUGCCCAUGUAGUCGGUGGCACACAUUGGACUGUUUCGAGUUUGUUGUCUAGCAGUGUGGUUUGAUUUAUCUGUACUCUACUUUGGACCUUCUUUCUUGUAGUCUAGCUUAGUGGUUCUUUUUGUUAAUUAUAUGAUGAUACUCUUGCGUCCUGGCAUUGUUGUAGGUCGGGUAUAUAGAUAUCGAUUGGUUGUUUUGCCAAUGGGCUCCAUGGCAAAUGGCUGCUUGGUGGGCUUUAUUUGGUAUAUUCACUGGCUAUCGUUAUGUUGGGGGUUUAGGCUACAUCAUGGUGCUAGCAACAAUAUUGCCAGCUCAUUUGUAUUUCAGUUUCUCGUUGCAUUUUGUUGGAUGGCUGGCAGUUUGGUUUCUAUGACAUGUGGACAGUAUGAGGUGAUGAGAGUGCCCUGAACAUUUAAAUGUCAGAAAUUUCAUUGACCAUUUAUAGAACACUGGCAAAUGGGUGUAAGUUAUCCUUGAUGUCUUUGGAUGUCAAUUUCAUUGAUGAUACAUUCUAUAUUGGCUUUCUGCCUGAUCUAUGAGGUGUUCGGGUAGUUCCUUUUUUGGUGUCUGUAACAGUGACUCUCCAAUGGUGGACCAGGGGUGCAACACAUGGAAUGGGGACUGGUGCAUAGGGCUAUUAAUUGAGAACUAGUUGCAAACUAAAAGAUGGUUUGAUCGUUGCCUCUUGCCUUGACCUAUUUUAAUUGCAGUUGUUUGAGGUAUUCAAUAUUGGUUUGACCUAUACAUUCUUCUAGUCACAUUUUGGUUUGAGAUGGAAUGAGGAAGAAAACUCACAUGAGUAUGCGUUUAUUGGUUUUUCAGAGAUCAGAGGUGGAAGAGAAGGGAUUUGGUGUCGAUGAAUAUUCUUACUUUUUUAUUGGUGGUUCCUUUAUUGCAGUAUUUUCUUUAGCUGAUUUUCCUUUAGGAGCUGGUGCAUGAUGUUCACUGUUCAGGAUGCUAUUUUUUCUCUUUUUAUCACUAGGUGGGGAAGCUACAUAGCGAUGGGUUGUUUGCCCAAUAGGCUCCAUGGCAUAUGGCUGCUGGAUGGGCUUUGUUGGUAUAUUUUAAUUAUGGUCUCUUGGGGACGCUGUAGGUGGGCGGGCGAUAUAUCAAUUGGUUGUUUGCCCAAUAGGCUCCAUGGCAUACGGCUGCUGGGUGGGCUCUGUAGGUAUGUUUUAAAUUAUAGUGAAGUGUUUUGGAUCUCUCAGAGGUAUAUACACUGGCUGUUGUUAUAUUGGGGGGUUUAGGCUGCAUCAUGGUGCUAGCAACCAUGUUGUUAACUGAUUUGUAUUUUAGGUUCCUGUGGCAUUUUGUUGGAUGGCUGGCAGGUAGGCUUCUAUUUUCUCUCUGAUUGGAACAUGCGGAGAAAAUGACUUGGCAAGUGACAAGAAACAUUCAAAUGUCAGAAACAUCGGGUACCAUUAUAGAGCUCUGGUGAAUUGGCGUAAAUUAUCCUUGAUAUCUUUGGAUGUCAACUUCAUUGAUGAUACAUUCUAUGCUGGCUUUCUGCCUAAUCUAAAGGUGGCUUUUUGCAUAUUCUGCAACGUGUUUUGGUAAGCUCCAUCUUUUGUGUCUUGUAACAGUGAGGACUAGGAGUGCCAACUCACAUGGUAUAGUGAUGGGUUCACGUGAUUAUUAAUUGAGAACUUGUUGCAAAGUGAAAGAUAGUUUUGUGCCUCUUGCUCAGCUUAUGUUAAUGGGGAUGGGUUCACAGGGUUAUUAAUUGAGAACCUGUUGCAACAUGAAAGAUGGUUUGAUUUGUGCCUCUUGCCUUGACUUACGUGAAUUGCAGUUUCUUCUUGCUGUCUAGCCUAGAGUUGCUCUUUUUUAAUUAUAUGAUGAUACUCUUGCGUCCUGGCGAUGCUGUAGGAGGGGAACCUAUGUAUCGAUUGGUGGUUUUCCCAAUGCUCUAUUUGGUAUGUUUUAAUUAUAUUGAAGUGUUUUUGAUCUCUCAGAGGUAUAUACACUGGCUAUUGUUAUGUUGGGUGUUUAGGCUGCAUCAUGGUGCUAGCAACAACUUUGUCUGCUGAUUUGUAUUUCAGUUUCUUGUUGCAUUUUGUUUGAUGGCUGGUAGUUUGGUUUCUAUAUACUUUCUGACCGGAACAUGUGAACAGUAUGAGGUGACGAGAGUGCCAGGAGCAUUCAAAUGUCAGAAACAUCGCGUACCAUUUAUAGAGCUAUGGUUAAUGGGCGUAAGUUAUCCUCAAUGCAUUUGGAUGUCAAUUCAUUGAUAAUACAUUCUAUAUUAGCUGUCUGCCUGAUCUACAAGGUGUUUGGGUAGUUCUAUCUUUGGUGUUCGUAACAGUGACUCCUUAGUGGUGGACCAGGAGUUUCAAUACGCCUGGAAUCGUGACGGGUGCACAGGAUUAUUAAUUGAGAAUUGGUUUUGAACGGAAAGAUGGUUUGAUCUGUGCCUCUUGCCCUCACCUAUGGGAAUAACAUUGUUUUGAGUUGUUUGGUGUUGGUUUGAUCUUUACAUUCUUCUAUUGUCACCUUUUAGUUUGAAUGAGGAAAAGUUACCUGAGAUAUGCAUUUAUUUGUUUUUCCGAGAUCAGAGGUGGAAGAGAAGGGAUUUGAUGACAUCGUGCAGUCACUCUUGGUGGUUCCUUUUAUGCAGGAUUUUCUUUAGCUGAUUUGCCUGUAGGAGCCGUUGCUUUACAGGAAUCUAUUUUUCUCUUUUGUUAAAAUCUUGACAUUGUGUUGUGUUUUUUUUCUUCAGCAUUUGGGCUUUUCCUCUAUAAAUCAUCAAUUUCAAUGAUGAUUUAUUCUAUAUUAGCUUUCUACCUGAUCUUUGAGGUUUCUGGGUUGUUCCAUCUUUGGUGUCUGUAACAGGAGUGCACAUACACACAUGGAAUGGGGACGGUGCACAGGGUUAUUAAGUUUGAACUGGUAGGUUUGAUCUGUGCCUCUUUCCCUGACUUGUGUGUAUUCCUAUUUGAGUUCUAUAGUGUCGGUUUAAUAUCUAUACAUUCUUCUAGUCACCGUCUGUUUUGAGAUGGAAUGAGGAUGAAAAGUCACCUGAGAUAUGUAUAUAUAUUGGUUUUUCGUAGAUUGGAGGUGGAAGCGACAGGAUUUGGUGACAUCCAUUCACUCUUACUUUUUUAUUGGUGGUUCCUUUUGUGCAGGAUUUUCUUUAGCUGAUUUGCAUGUAGGAGCUGUUGUAUAUUGGUUCAAUGAUAUACUUUUGCUUUAUUUGUAUAUGUUUAUAUGUUGAUUGUGAAGUCUUUGUUUGCGUUGAUUGUUCUUCUUAGGUACUAUGGUCAUUUGCCCAUGUAAUCAGUGGCACACGUUGGACUGUUUCGAGUUUGUUGUCUAGCAGUGUGGUUUGAUUUAUCUAUACUCUACUUUGGACCUCCUUUCUUGUUGUCUAGCCCAGUGGUCCUUUUUGUUAAUUAUAUUUUGAUACUCAUGUGUCCUGGCGAUGCUGUAGGUGGGGUAUCUAUAUAUCGAUUGGUUGUUUGCCCAAUGGGCUUCAUGGCAAAUGGCUGCUGGGUGGGAUUUGUUCGGUAUAUUCAUUAGCUAUUUUUUUUGUCAUCAUGGUGCUAGCAGCAAUAUUGUCAUGGCAAAUGGCUGCUGGGUGGGAUCUGUUCGGUAUAUUCGUUAGCUAUUUUUUUAUCAUCAUGGUGCUAGCAGCAAUAUUGUCAGCUCAUUUGUAUUUCAGUUUCUUGUUGCAUUUUGUUGGGUGGUUGGCGGUUAGGUUUCUAUAUGAUUUCUGACUGGAACAUGUGGGCAGUUUGAGGUGACGAGACUGCCAUGAACAUUCAAAUGUCAGAAACAUCGUGUACCAUUUAUAGAAGUCUGGUGCAUGGGCGUAAGUUAUCCUUGAUGUCUUUUUAUGUCAAUUUCAUUGAUGAUACAUUUCUAUAUUGGCUUUCUGCCUGAUCUACGAGGUGUUUGGGUAGUUCCAUAUUUGGUGUCUGUAACAGUGACCCUCUAGUGGUGGACCAGGCGUGCCAACACACAUGGAAUGGGGACGGGUGCAUAUGGCUAUGAAUUGAGAACUAGUUGCAAAGUGAAAGAUGGUUUGAUCUGUGGCCUCUUAUCCUGACCUAUGUUAAGUGCAGUUGUCUGAGGUAUUCAGUGUUGGUUUGAUCUAUACGUUCUAGCCACCUUUUGGUUAGACAUGGAAUGAGGAUGAAAAGUCACCCGAGGUAUGCAUUUAUUGGAUUUUCAGAGAUCGGAGGUGGAAGAGAAGGGAUUGGGUGUCGAUGUCCAUUCUUACUUUUUUAUUGGCGGUUCCAAUCUUGUAGGAUUUUCUUUAGUUGAUUUGCCUUUAGGAAGCGGUGUUUGUUUCUUCAGUAUUUGGGCUUUGCCUCUACAUCCUAUCUUUAUUAUUUGCCUUGAAAUUUGUGUUUGUCCAGUCAGAUAUCAUCUUUGGCUUCAAAACAUUUUCUUUUCUUUUUGUCCCCCCCACCGCCCUCUUUUUUUUGUGGUGUGGGGGAUGUUGGGGGUUUUUUGGGCGGAAUCAGUUUGGUACAAUGAUAUACUUUUGCCCUUUGUUUGUAAAUGUUUAUAUGUUGAUUGUGAAGUCUUAGUUUUCAUUGUUUGUUCACGUUAGGUACCAUGCUGGUUUGCCCUUGUAAAUGGUGGCACACAUUGGACUGUUUCGAGUUUGUUGUAUCACAGUGUGGUUUGAUUUAUCUGGACUCUACUUUGGAACUUCUUUCUUGUGGUCUAGCCUAGAGUUGCUCUUUGUUGAUUAGGUGAUGAUACUCUUUUGUCCUGGUGAUGCUGUAGGUGGGGGAGCUGUACAUCGAUUGGUUGUUAUGCCCAAUGCUUUGGUAUGUUUUAAUUAUAAUUGAAGUGUUUUGGAUCUCUCAGGUAUAUACAGGUGUAUACACUGGUUGUUGUUAUGUUAGGGGUUUAGGCUGCAUCAUGGUGCUGGCAACCAUAUUGUCAGUUGAUUUGUAUUUCAGUUUUAUGUUGCAUUUUGUUGGAUGGUUGUCAGUUUCUUUUCUAUAUGCUUUCUGACUGGAACAUGUGGACAAUAAGUAUGAGGACUGGAACAUGUGGACAAUAAGUAUGAGGUGACGAGAGUGCUUGGAACAUUCAAAUGUCAGAAACAUUGUGUAUCAAUUAUAGGGGUUCUGGUAAAUGGGCAUAAGUUAUUUUUGAUAUCUUUGGAUGUCAAUUUUAUUGAUGAUACAUUCUUAGUUUUCUGCCUGAUCUUUGAGGUGUCUGGGUAGUUCCAUCAUUUGUGUCUGUAACAGUGACUCUCCAGUGGUGGACUAGGAGUGCCAACACACAUUGAAUGGGGACGGGGGUGCACAGGUUUAUUGAUUGGAAACUGGUUCAAAGUGAAAGAUGGUUUGAUCUGUGCCUCUUGUCCUGACUUAUGUGAAUUGCAGUUGUCUGAGUUGUUUAGAGUUAGUUUGAUCCAUACGUUCUUCUGGUCACAUUUUAGUUUGUUGGAAUGAGGAUUAAAAGUCACCUGAGAUAUGCAUUUGGUGAUGUUGUCCAUUCACAAUUACUUUUUCAGGGAUCGAAGGUGGAAGAGAAGGCAUUUGGUGAUGUUGUCCAUUCACUAUUACUUUUUCUUGGUGAUUCCUUUUAUGCAGGAUUUUCUUUCGGUUAUUUGCCUGUAUGAGCCGUUGUAUACGGGAUACUAUUUUCUCUUUAUUAGUCUCUUGACAAUAUGCUGUGUUUGUUUAUUUGCUAUCAUGGCUUUGCCUGUCUUUUAUGUUUAUUAUUUGCCUUGAGAUUUGUGUUUAUGCAAUUAGAUUAUCAUCUUUAGCUUCAACACAUUAGCUUUUCUUUUCUUUUUCCCCCCUCUUUUUUUGUUGGGGGGUGAGAGGGGGGGGGGGGAUGUUGGGCUGUUUUUUGGCUGAAUCAGUUUGGUGCACUGAUAUACUUUUGCUCUUUGUUUGAAAGUGUUUAUAUGUUGAUUAUGAUGUCUAGUUUGCAUUGAUUAUUCUCCUUAGGUACCAUGGUGGUUUGUCCAUGAAAUCGUGGCACACAUUGGACUGUUUCCAGUUUGUUGUCUGGAAGUGUGGUUCGAUUUAUGUGGACUCGACUUUGGACCUUCUUUCUUGUUGUCUAGCCUAGACUUUUUUUUUUUUAAUUAUAUGAUGAUACUCUUGCGUCUUGGCGAUGCUGUAGAUGGGGGAGCUAUAUAUUGAUUGGUUGGUUGCUCUAUGGGGUCCAUGUCAUAGUGCUGCGGGGUGGCUCUAUUUGGUAUGUUUUAAUUAUAGCGAAGUAUUUUUGAUCUCUCAGAGGUAUAUGCAUUGGCUUUUGUUAUGUUGGGGGUUUAGGCUGCAUCAUGGUGCUAGCAAGCAUAUUGUUGGCUGAUUUGUAUUUCAGUUUAUUGUUGCAUUUUGUUGGAUGGCUGUUUCUAUACGCUUUCUCACUAGAACACAUGGACAGUAUGAGGUAAUGAGAGCGCUAGGAAAAUUCAAAUGUCAGAAACAUUUUAUAGAGCUCUAGUGAAUGGACGUGUAAGUUACUCUUGCUAUCUUUGGAUCUCAACUUCAUUGAUGAUACAUUCUAUAUUGGCUUUCUGCCUGAUUUAUGAGGUGCAUAUGUAGUUCCUUCUUUGGUGUAUGUAACAGUGAAUCUCCAGUGGUGGACUUGGAGCGCCAACACACAUGGAAUGGGGACGGGUGCACAAGGUUAUUAAUUGAGAACUGGUUGCAAAGUGAUAGAUGGUUUGAUCUGUACCUCUUGCCUUGACCUAUGUGAAUUGCAGUUGUCUGAGUUGUUUAGUGUUGGUUUGAUUUAUACGUAACUUCUAGUUGCCCUUUUGGUUUGAGGUGGAAUUAGGAUGAAUAGUCACAUGAGAUGCACAUUUAUUGGUUUUUCAGAGAUUGUAGCUGGAAGAGAAGGGAUUUGGUGCCAUUGUCCAUUCACUCGUUACUUUUUUAUUGGUGGUUCCUUUCUUGUAGGACUUUCUUUUAUUUGAUUUGCCUGUAGGAGUUGUAUAUUAGUCCAUUACUAUACAAUAUACUACUCUUUCUCUUUUAUUUAGCUCGUGUUUGUUUCUUUGGUAUCUCGCCUUUGCCUCUUUAUUCUAUGUUUACUAUUUACCUUGAGAUUUGUCUUUGUAUAGUUAGAUGCCUUUGCCUCUUUAUUCUAUGGUUACUAUUUACCCUGAGAUUUGUGUUCGUCAAUUCAGGAAUCUGAUGAGAAGUUAGGUUUUUAUAUGCUUUGUGACUGGAACAUAUGGAGAGUAGUGACGUGACGAGUGCUAGGAACAUUCACAUGUCAGAAACAUUGUGUUGCAUUUAUAGAUCUCUGGUGAAUGGGCAUAACUUAUCCUUGAUAUCUCUGGAUGUCAAUUUCAUUGUUGAUACAUUCUAUAUUGGCUUUUUGCUUUAUCUAUGAGGUGUCUGGGUAGUUCCAUCUUUGGUGUCUGUAACAGUGAGUGGUGGACCCGGUAGCGCCAACACACAUGGAAUGGGGAUGGGUGCACAGGAAUAUUAAUUGAGAAUUGGUUCCAAAGUGAAAGAGUUGCAAAGUAAAAGAUGGUUUGAUCUGUGCCUCUUACCCUGACCUAUGUGAAUUUCAGUUGUCUGAGUUGUUUAGUGUUGGUUUGAUCUAUACAUUCUUCUAGUCACCUUUUGGCAAUUAAUCAAUGUUCUCUGUAGAUUUUGAGAUGGAAUGAGGAUGAAACGUCACCUGAGAUAUGCUUCUAUUGGUUUUUCAGAGAUUGGAGGUGAAAGAGGAGGGACUUGGUGAUGUUGCCCUUUUUUAUUGGUGGUUCCUUUUAUGCAGGAUUUUCUUUAGCUGAUUUGGCUGUAGGAGCCAUUGUAUAUUGGUCCAUCACUAUGCCGGGUGCUAUCUUGUCUCUUUUAUUAAGCUCUUGACAGUAUGUUGUGUUUAUUUAUUCUAUGGGGAUGGGUGCAUAGGGUUAUUAAUUUGAACUAUUGCAAAGUGAAAGAUGGUUUGAUCUAUGUGAAUUGCAGUUAUUUAAUUUUUUUAGGGUUGGUUUGAUCUAUAUGUUCUUCUAGUCACUUUUUGGUAAUUGAUCAAUGUUGCUACUCUCUAGAUUUUGAGAUGGAAUGAGGAUGAAAAUAUGCAUUUAUUGGUUUUUCAGAGAUCGGAGGUGGAAGAGAAGGGAUUUGGUGACGUCCAUUCACUCUUUACUUUUUUAUUGGUGGUUCCUUUUAUGCAGGAUUUUCUUUGCUGAUUUGCCUGUAGUAGCCGUUGUAACGGUGGUCCAUCACUGUAUUGGAUGCUAUUUUUUCUCUUGUAUUAAGCUCUUGACAAUAGGCUGUGUUUGUUUCUUCGGCAUCUGGCCUUUGACUUGUUUUUCUCUGUUUAUUAUUUUCCUUGAGAUCUGGGUUUGUAUAGUUAGAUUAUCAUCUUGCCAUCAUUAUUGAUUCGGGGAUCUGCUGAGAUGUUAGGUUCCUAUAUGCUUUCUGACUGGAAUAUGUGGACUGUAUGAGGUGACGUGAUUGCCAGGAAGCCCCCAAUUGUUUUUUUUUUAAGGUUUUGUGAUUUUGAUUUGGGGUUCUUUUUGGAGGGAAACCGUAAGGUUUGUGAUUAUGUGUAUAAUGCGGGAGCUCUCAAUUAUUUUCCAGCAAUUUUUUUAUCUGAAGAUUGAAUCAUUAUGUGUAUCUUGGCGUUCGUUAUUUUUGGGGAUCUUUUUUUUUGGUUUGGUUCUAUUGAGGUUUCUCCCGUUGAUCAUGCUAGUUUGCUCUGUUCUUCAGUGGGCCAAGUGGGAGUGGAUGCGAACUCAAAAUCUGUUCGUAUUAUACUGGCAACAGGACCAAAAGAUGCACUCUUGAGAGAGGAACCUCUAGUAAGGGAUUUUCUUGGGUAUACAGAUUUGUUUUGGUUUAUUGGUCUUACUCAGAUUUGUAAUGCUCCUUUUGUAUGCAUCAACUUAUGGCGUUCUUCUGCAUGUAUUCAUGUGCCCUUUACAAUUUUAGUCAUUUUAGGGUUUCAUUGUGGUUUAUAGGAUGAUGGUUCUGUUUUUAUUUCAUUGUAUUUAAGUUGUGGUUUCAAAGGUCGAAGCUAAUCUAAGGUGUGUAAGAUAAUCAACUAUAAGUAAGGCUGGCUCUGUUGCCCUAUAUUCGGGUCUUCCUUUAUUAAUUGAGUUUACCAAUUCUCCAGUUUUACCCCUCCGAUUCUUCUUUGGUUUUGUUUCUUGGUGAUUGCUUGCAGAGUUUUGGUGAAUUUUGUUGACUCCUAAUGCGAUUGCACUCUGGAUGCUCUCUGACUCUCCUCUAGGUGAUGAUGUCUUAUGAAGUUGUUAAAGAGGUUCUUUUUUGUUCAAGCAUUGAAAAUUGCUCUCGGGUUCUUCUUGGUUAUCGAUUAGAGAGCUAUCAUUGUAACCUAACAUUAUAGUUUGCUUCAGUUGGUGGAGAAAUAAGGUUUCAUUAUCAUAUUCAUUUGCAUCGUCGCUGUUUAGCUUAUGAUGCAAUUCUGAUGGCAGUUCAGAUGCCUAAGUUAUUGUGGAUCACUUCUGUUGAGUUUGCUGUAUCAUGUUGUCAAAAUUUCAAGAUUAUUACUUUGGGUUAUUUGCAAUCAACUUGAUCCAUGUGGAAAUGAACUUGAUGCUGAUAGUGGUUGAGGUGUUCUGCAACUUGUUCCAUUUUGUUAAAGGAAGCAAUGCAAAUUGGAAGGGUGUUAUUUCCUUUAAUAUUCUGAUCAGUUUGAUUUCGACUGUUAGUAUUACAAUUGGUUGUCAUGGUUGACUUCUGCAUAUGCAGAUCAUGGGAUGAGUUGAUACACUAGUUGUUGUAUUGUCUUCUGGGUGAAGGGCAACAUGUUGAAGUGCUUAUGUCAAACCAUGGAUUCCUGAUGGUUUGUAUUGUUUUGGGAAAACAAUUACCUCAUCUUGAUACGACUUUUUUAAUUCCUUUUAGGUGUAGUAGUGAUCACUAUCACCAAUUUUUGGGAUCCCCAACAUGUUGAAGUACUUAUGUCAAACCAUGGAUUCCUGAUGGUUUGUAUUGUUUUGGGAAAGCAAUUACCUCAUCUUGUUGCCACUUUUUAAUUCCUUUUAGGUGUAGUAGCAAUCACUAUCACCAAUUCUUGGGAUGCCUAAUUAUAGGGAGUUCGCCUCGAUGAUUUCAUGAGGGGAACUUUGCUGGAUGUUGUUGUGCUCCUGACAUAAGUUGUUCCGGUAUUUGAUAUCAACCUGGAUUUGAAUCUGGUUUGCAUUUUGGAUUGUAUUUGGUUUGGUAUUGUUUUGGGAGACUUGCAUUCGCUUGACUUGCUUUCAGGCCUGUUGAAAGUUCUGUGCUCUAAGGUGCCAUGUGAUGCUCUCUUAUUGGAGGCAAUAGUGGAGGCGUACAUGGUAUUUGUUCGAUGUUCCUCUGAGAUUUCUGGAUUUCUUCUGCUAUCUGUUGAAUUAUUUUAUGAGUGACGUCUUUUUUAUUGUAUCCUUGCUGACCAUGACGAGUACAGGAGCUAGUUAGGAUUGGUUUUGGAGUUGUGCAAGUUCCAAGAUUCGUGUUGUGGCCAUAGGUUUUUUUUCUUGUAGUUUUGGUAGGCAGCUGCUUUCGCAGUUUAAUUAUUCACCCAAGAAAAAAAAUCUCAGUUUAAUUUGGUUAUUUGUUUUUAAUUUGUGUUAUGAUGGGGAUAUACAUUUUUGGUUCAUACAACUCGUGAUAGUUCAUGUGAUAGUCAUGUAAGAACAAUCAUCUGCACUUAGUGUUACCACUUGCAUCUUUCUUUUAUAUCUUUGUUAUUUGUGUUUCAAAAAAUUUUGGAAUUCUUUCGAUGGUUUUUGUGCCGAUAUUAUCUGUGAACGGAGAAAUGUAUCCCCGCUAGAGGUUUGGUAGAAGAUUGUAGCAGUCUUUUCAACAUCAGCUGCAUAUCCAGUCUUUAGUAAUCGUGAUAUCUGGUAUUUGUCUGCUUUUUGACACUUCUUGUCCUAGUUAUACUUAUGCAUGGCAGUAUCAGCGCAUAUGUUCGCGUCAGUUGCACCCUCUUGAUGCGUGCUAUUCUUGGGUCGGGAAGUUAUUCUGCAAUCUCAGGAUCCAGAGUUGACUGAAACAUAGAUUGCUCUGCCAUUCUUUGUUUGCAUCAGUUGCCACUUUUUUCUGUUGGAUUCUCCGUUGAGCACACUGGUUUGGGGAAGUUGCUGGCACGAUGGAAGGUCUGAAUCCAUCAAAUUUUAAUCUUCGGGUCAAGACAUUGUGUUAGCAUAUUGGAAGUAGUUUCUUAGUAUUUGAUUCUUUUUGAAAAUCUGUGAAUGACUUGGAUUGAUUUUGUCUUUGGAGAUGAAUGCAUGGAUUGGAAUAAAAAAGCGGAGGUAUGAUGUCUCUA
Molecule: non-coding RNA, 17852 nt
Organism: Amborella trichopoda
Lineage: Eukaryota; Viridiplantae; Streptophyta; Magnoliopsida; Amborellales; Amborellaceae
Source: RefSeq, a predicted model, not a curated record